ACAUCACCCUCUUGCAAUCUUUCCUCGACUCGAUCAUAGUGGAUCUACUCGGAACCGCGUGUAAAUCGCGGGCUGUACCGCAACUGUGUGGGUGUCGCUUUUCGAAAGCAACACCUAAGCCAGGAACGAGACAUCGUGUGGGGCUUCGG
Molecule: non-coding RNA, 149 nt
Filed under: Candidatus Microgenomates bacterium
Lineage: Bacteria; Candidatus Microgenomatota
Source: RNAcentral